GUCGGGAAAGGUUGCGUGGUCCUAUUUUCCAAUUGCCUAUGGGAGACGUCAAAACAGGUGAAUAAUGACGUCUUUAGAAGUUGAGUGGAACAACCGAUCAUACAAAAUGUGCCUAUCAUUAGAUCCUAGUCAACAACGAAAUCCUUCGAACGUUGGAAAUCGUGGUUGUGUAAAGAAAAUGGUACUGAGCCAGGCUGGAUUCACAGAGCAGCUAAAACAUUUCGCUGGGAUUGGAACGGUAGAAUACACAUUAAGAUCGGCCACAAGACGACUAGAGAAACAGUUAGACCCUGUCUUUU
Molecule: non-coding RNA, 299 nt
Rfam family: Metazoan signal recognition particle RNA
About the family: The signal recognition particle (SRP) is a universally conserved ribonucleoprotein. It is involved in the co-translational targeting of proteins to membranes.
Source: Rfam